RNAcentral lists this ribosomal RNA (389 nucleotides) under uncultured Acetivibrio sp. RNAcentral's name for it is "bacterial SSU rRNA". It matches the Rfam family "Bacterial small subunit ribosomal RNA", at positions 355 to 794 of the family's 1533-position model. Lineage: Bacteria; Bacillati; Bacillota; Clostridia; Acetivibrionales; Acetivibrionaceae. The record is from RNAcentral.
UGGGGAAUAUUGCGCAAUGGGCGAAAGCCUGACGCAGCGACGCCGCGUGAGGGACGAAGGACGUGACGGUACCUGGAGAAAAAAGCAACGGCUAACUACGUGCCAGCAGCCGCGGUAAUACGUAGGUUGCAAGCGUUGUCCGGAUUUACUGGGUGUAAAGGGCGUGUAGGCGGAGAUGCAAGUUGGGAGUGAAAUCCAUGGGCUCAACCCAUGAACUGCUCUCAAAACUGUAUCCCUUGAGUAUCGGAGAGGCAAGCGGAAUUCCUAGUGUAGCGGUGAAAUGCGUAGAUAUUAGGAGGAACACCAGUGGCGAAGGCGGCUUGCUGGACGACAACUGACGCUGAGGCGCGAAAGCGUGGGGAGCAAACAGGAUUAGAUACCCUGGUAGU